Molecule: ribosomal RNA, 459 nt
Filed under: uncultured bacterium
Lineage: Bacteria
Description: bacterial SSU rRNA
Rfam family: Bacterial small subunit ribosomal RNA
Source: RNAcentral
ACGGGAGGCAGCAGUGGGGAAUCUUGGGCAAUGGGGGAAACCCUGACCCAGCGACGCCGUGUGGGGGACGAAGGCCUUCGGGUUGUAAACCCCUGUUAGGUGGGACGAAUGCCCUUUCGUAAAUAACGAAGGGGCUUGACGGUACCACCAGAGAAAGCCCCGGCUAACUCCGUGCCAGCAGCCGCGGUAAUACGGAGGGGGCGAGUGUUGUUCGGAAUUACUGGGCGUAAAGGGCGCGCAGGCGGCUUGGCAAGUCAAGUGUGAAAUCCCUCAGCUUAACUGAGGAAUAGCGCUUGAAACUACCUCGCUAGAGGGUGGGAGAGGGAAGUGGAACUCUCGGUGUAGGGGUGAAAUCUGUAGAUAUCGAGAGGAACACCGGUGGCGAAGGCGGCUUCCUGGCCCACAUCUGACGCUGAGGCGCGAAAGCGUGGGGAGCAAACAGGAUUAGAUACCCUGGUA